UAUUAAUGUCCAAAAAAAGAAACAAUAUUACAAAAAGGGUAAUAUUGUAAAAGUAAGUUAAAAAGAAUAUAAAAUAAUGGCAGGGGUGUCAAUAGUUUAACGAUAUAGAUGUUUUAAAAUAUUUUUAAAAAUAUAGAAACUAAACAAGUACUAAUCUUAAAAUAUAGAGACUAAACAAACUUUUACCCUUGCUAAAACUUAAAGCUUACACUUUGUGUCCACAAGCUUUCUUUCGCUUGAAUAAAUGGCCGAAACUGAACACAAAUUGGGCCGGAAGUUGGGCUGGGCCCCAACAAAUUCUCUUACGCAGUUUGAGGUUCAUCUAACUUUUAACAAAAAUUCAAAAUAGUUGAAAACUUUUCUUUUGAAAUUGUAUCAAGGUAAAUGUCGGAUUGCCCACUUGAAAAUUGAGUAUUUUCAAAUCACUAUCUUAUUUUUUAAAAUCAUAAAGAUAAAGACAAAAUGGGUGUGAGUUGAUUUUUUUUUUUUAAUCUUCUUAACAAAAAUAAAAUAAAUUGAAAAUUUUCAAAAGUAAGAGAGUAAUUUUUAAGAUAAUUAAUUCAUGAGAGGUAAUCUAAAAUCAUCCCAUCUAUUGAUAAACUAUUUACAUAAAUGAAGACAUUGUGUUUCGUCGAAAGUUUAUUAAAAGUUAGAUAAUCAAAUGUCAAUAUUCGAAUAAAAAGUUGAUAAUGACCAUUAUACUUUUUAGCAUAUAUUAAGGAAGGUCAACACCAAACAAAAAAAAAAAAAAAAAAAAAAAAAGAGAGAGAGAUGCACUCGACAAAGCGAGGGUAGGUCGAUGGAGUUGCAUGAGAAUUUGAUAAUUUUUGCUAAUAAUUUUCCCAUUUGUUUUUUAAAGGGCGACGACGGGAGUUGCGUGAGAAAGGAGAAAUGAAUCAUGAUUCAUGAAUGGAGCACCAAAAAAUCAAAUAGAGUUAAUGAAAAUGGGAAUCCGGAUCCCAAAAUUAAACCUUAAUAAAUGACGUUUUGUCUGGACACGCGUAACGUUCUCAACUCCCCAUGUCAAAAAGAACGAACCACGCCAUGCACCGCACGUGACCUUCAUUUUUAUUUUCUUUUAAAUAAAUCUUUGGCGAUGAUUUUUAUGAUCGUUAUUUUUAUUAUUGUUAUUAUUGGAAGAUUAAGCUACUAUCGUUGUCUUAAAGCUCUUCUAUAAAAUUUUAAUAACGUUGAAGUGGACUUGUAUAGAAAAAGG
RNAcentral lists this long non-coding RNA (1216 nucleotides) under Citrus x clementina. RNAcentral's name for it is "Citrus clementina (C. clementina) long non-coding RNA (CCLE_LNC006686)". Lineage: Eukaryota; Viridiplantae; Streptophyta; Magnoliopsida; Sapindales; Rutaceae. The record is from RNAcentral.